UUGCAAAACAAUCAUCCUUACCAUGAAAAGCACAAGUAGUGUUAACAUUUGUUUGCUUCAAUGAUAAAGGAAAAGUCAUUAGGAAGAAGGUAGGGAUAUACUCACAACUUUAGGCCCCUCUUUUUUCUUUUCCAUAUCCCUUUAUAUCAAUAGCAAAGUGGCUUUUCUUUUUAUAUAUAUGUUUUGUUGUGACCAGUUGAUUUGGGUUAGUAUGGAGGAACACGUAGUAGGUUGGAACAACUUGUUUCUUACGUUAGAUGAACAUUAUCCAGUGGUUUCUCAUUGCAAGAACAACUAAAUUGGAGGUUCAUCAUUCUACCCUUGUGUUUUCUACUAAAUGAAUUGAUGAGAUUCUCUUUUUGGUUUUCGGUGAGAGGGGGAUUAGUUCAUUUGGGAUCAAUAGGUGGUAGACCGCUGACCAUAAAGCCAACUUUAAAUGGUUGGUUUGCUAAAUUUCAGUUACUGAAGAACGUAAAUUACAAGGUCUCCCUACGAGGAGUACAGUGCAAUCUUUCUCAAGAAUAUCAUACAGAUUCUUUCUUACUUCAAUUCACCAUUACGUGUUUUAUCUCAAUUGACGUAUGUUAGAGGGAUUGUUAAGAGAAUCGGCUCAGGUAUGUUAAGGCUAUCCCUUCUUUCUUUUUUGCAUGAUUCAUACGAUACAAACGAAGCGAGAAAAUGCACAACUUCCAUAAAUGACUCUGUUCAUAGGUGUAUUAGAGGUGCCUAUGUUCUUGAAAUCCCCUAUAUCAUAUUAUUAUAUCAUUUGUUCAAGGGUCUCAUAAAAAUAUGUAAGUUCCAAAAGUUUAUUUUAUGAUACUAUUCAAAGGCAUAAUGAUCUUAUGACAUUCCGAAAGAUUUUAUUAACAUACUUCUCAUGCAUUGCAUUCAUUUACAUGUGCAUUUACCCAUGACUCAGAUGGCGGUAUAUACGCGUAUAUAUGUAUAUGGGAUAUGGAAAAAAGGUUACGGCGUUAUAUACGUACCACCACCUGAUCAGCUGGUAUACGAUAAUGAUGUUGCCCACAGUGGCUGAAAUAUGACUCAGACGACGUUAUAUACGUGUAUAUAUAUAUAUGGGAAAAGGUUACGGCGUUAUAUAUGCACCAUCACCUGAUCAACUGGUAUACGUUGAUGAUUUGCUCACAGUGGCCGAGAUGAUAUGAUGGGAUGCCCUUAGAGGCUUGAUGAUAUUAUGAAACAUGUACCUAUGUAUCAUAUGACAUUUAAACGCAUGUGCAUGACAUUAUAAAUAUGAUUUAAAGAGUUAUUCAAACUUACAGGUUGAGUCCUUUAUUCCAUAUUUCUUCCAUGCUAUUUAUAUAUUUAUUUACACGCCUUACCUACUCAAUACAAUAUUCGUACUGAUGUCUUUUUGUUGGGGAUGCUGCAUUCAUACCUGCAGGUAUAGACAUUCAGUUUGACGAGCCCUCAAAGUAGACGAGGUCAACAUUCAACGAAGAAUCGGUAAGACUCCAUCUCAUUCGGAGUGCAGCCGAGUUUUAUGAGGCAUCGUGUCAUAAUUUUGCUACACACUUAUGUGUAGGCUGGUACCCUGUCCCAUUUGAUGUCAAAUAAUCUUAGAGAUUUUGUAGACAGAGGUUCAUUUUGUGUGGUACGUCAAAGGCCUUGACGGCCAUAUGUAUUCAUGUUUUAAGAACGAUGGUUCAGUAAUAUAAUAUUUUUCCACUUACAAUUGUACAUUACGACUUACAGAGUGGUUUGCUGGGCCACUACGGCAUCGGGUUCCAGCCACGCCUCCCCAGGUUUGGGGCAUGAUAGAAAUUGCGAGACCAGGCUUCGCAAUUGCAAAGUUCUCAGGCUUGGUAAUUGCGACCCAGGCGUCGUAAAUGCGAACCAAGCCUGGGCAGGCCUUGAUCGCAAAUGCGACCCUUUAUCGCAAAUGCAAAAAGGGCUGAGUCGCAAAUGUGACUAAUUCUUCGCAAAUGCAAAGAUAGCAGGUUCCAAAGGGGUUCACAAUUGCGAGCCCUGGUCGCAAUUGCGACAUCUGCAACCAGUUAAUUGGGAUUUUGACGGGAUUUUAUUCAAUUUUACAACUCUUCAAACCGAAAAAACAUCUUGGGCGAUUUUUCAAAGACAUCAACUUCUCCAAAUCAUUAGUAAGUUAUUUUCAACUUAUUUUCUUCAAUCUACAACAUCUUUUCACAUGAUUUCAAUUCAAAAUCAAGGGUUUUUCAUGAGAAAUUUGGUGAUUUGGGUAGAACUUAGGAUUUUCAAAUUUUGGGGAUUUGGACCUCGAUUUGAGGUCCAAUUUUAAAACAAAUUAUAUGUUUUAGUUCGUGGGGGAAUGAUUAAUCGGGUUUUGGUUCGAACCUCGGGUUUUGACCAUGUGGACCCGUGGUCGAUUUUUGACUUUUUGGGGAAAUCAUUAGAAAACCUAUUUUCAUGCAUUAGAAUUGAUUCAUUUAGCAUUUAUUGAUAUCGUUAAGUAAAUUGUAGCUAGAUAUAAGUGAAUUGGUGGUGGAAUCGAGGGGUAAAGCGGUAGUUG
RNAcentral lists this long non-coding RNA (2509 nucleotides) under Nicotiana tabacum (common tobacco). Its description in RNAcentral is "long non-coding RNA (NTAB_LNC001702)". The record is from RNAcentral. Lineage: Eukaryota; Viridiplantae; Streptophyta; Magnoliopsida; Solanales; Solanaceae.